AUUGAACGCUGGCGGCAUGCCUUACACAUGCAAGUCGAACGGUAACAGGUCUUCGGUUGCUGACGAGUGGCGAACGGGUGAGUAAUACAUCGGAACGUGCCCGAUCGUGGGGGAUAACGAGGCGAAAGCUUUGCUAAUACCGCAUACGAUCUACGGAUGAAAGCGGGGGAUCUUCGGACCUCGCGCGGACGGAGCGGCCGAUGGCAGAUUAGGUAGUUGGUGGGAUAAAAGCUUACCAAGCCGACGAUCUGUAGCUGGUCUGAGAGGAUGAUCAGCCACACUGGGACUGAGACACGGCCCAGACUCCUACGGGAGGCAGCAGUGGGGAAUUUUGGACAAUGGGCGAAAGCCUGAUCCAGCCAUGCCGCGUGCAGGAUGAAGGCCUUCGGGUUGUAAACUGCUUUUGUACGGAACGAAAAGCCUCUUUCUAAUAAAGAGGGGUCAUGACGGUACCGUAAGAAUAAGCACCGGCUAACUACGUG
RNAcentral lists this ribosomal RNA (482 nucleotides) under uncultured bacterium. RNAcentral describes it as "partial 16S ribosomal RNA". It matches the Rfam family "Bacterial small subunit ribosomal RNA", at positions 30 to 507 of the family's 1533-position model. The record is from RNAcentral.